GACGAACGCUGGCGGCGUGCUUAACACAUGCAAGUCGAACGGAAAGGCCCUGCUUUUGUGGGGUGCUCGAGUGGCGAACGGGUGAGUAACACGUGAGUAACCUGCCCUUGACUUUGGGAUAACUUCAGGAAACUGGGGCUAAUACCGGAUAGGAGCUCCUGCUGCAUGGUGGGGGUUGGAAAGUUUCGGCGGUUGGGGAUGGACUCGCGGCUUAUCAGCAUGUUGGUGGGGUAGUGGCUUACCAAGGCUUUGACGGGUAGCCGGCCUGAGAGGGUGACCGGCCACAUUGGGACUGAGAUACGGCCCAGACUCCUACGGGAGACAGCAGUGGGGAAUAUUGCACAAUGGGCGGAAGACUGAUGCAGCAACGCCGCGUGCGGGAUGACGGCCUUCGGGUUGUAACCCGCUUUCGCCUGUGACGAAGCGUGAGUGACGGUAAUGGGUAAAGAAGCACCGGCUAACUACGUG
This 468-nucleotide ribosomal RNA is filed under the name uncultured bacterium. RNAcentral describes it as "partial 16S ribosomal RNA". It matches the Rfam family "Bacterial small subunit ribosomal RNA", at positions 28 to 507 of the family's 1533-position model. The record is from RNAcentral.